This 498-nucleotide ribosomal RNA is filed under the name uncultured bacterium. Its description in RNAcentral is "bacterial SSU rRNA". It matches the Rfam family "Bacterial small subunit ribosomal RNA", at positions 26 to 507 of the family's 1533-position model. The record is from RNAcentral.
AGGACGAACGCUGGCGGCGUGCCUAAUACAUGCAAGUCGAGCGGACCAAAGGGAGCUUGCUCCUGGAGGUUAGCGGCGAACGGGUGAGUAACACGUGGGCAACCUGCCUGUAAGACUGGGAUAACAUCGAGAAAUCGGUGCUAAUACCGGAUAAUAAAAAGAACUGCAUGGUUCUUUUUUGAAAGAUGGUUUCGGCUAUCACUUACAGAUGGGCCCGCGGCGCAUUAGCUAGUUGGUGAGGUAACGACUCACCAAGGCAACGAUGCGUAGCCGACCUGAGAGGGUGAUCGGCCACACUGGGACUGAGACACGGCCCAGACUCCUACGGGAGGCAGCAGUAGGGAAUCUUCCGCAAUGGACGAAAGUCUGACGGAGCAACGCCGCGUGAGUGAUGAAGGUUUUCGGAUCGUAAAACUCUGUUGUUAGGGAAGAACAAGUGCCGUUCGAAAGGGCGGCACCUUGACGGUACCUAACGAGAAAGCCACGGCUAACUACGUG